RNAcentral lists this ribosomal RNA (910 nucleotides) under uncultured bacterium. RNAcentral's name for it is "bacterial SSU rRNA". It matches the Rfam family "Bacterial small subunit ribosomal RNA", at positions 8 to 916 of the family's 1533-position model. The record is from RNAcentral.
AGAGUUUGAUCCUGGCUCAGAUUGAACGCUGGCGGCAGGCUUAACACAUGCAAGUCGAGCGGGGAAAGUUGCUUCGGUAACUGACCUAGUGGCGGACGGGUGAGUAAUGCUUAGGAAUCUGCCUAUUAGUGGGGGACAACAUCUCGAAAGGGAUGCUAAUACCGCAUACGUCCUACGGGAGAAAGCAGGGGAUCUUCGGACCUUGCGCUAAUAGAUGAGCCUAAGUCGGAUUAGCUAGUUGGUGGGGUAAAGGCCUACCAAGGCGACGAUCUGUAGCGGGUCUGAGAGGAUGAUCCGCCACACUGGGACUGAGACACGGCCCAGACUCCUACGGGAGGCAGCAGUGGGGAAUAUUGGACAAUGGGGGGAACCCUGAUCCAGCCAUGCCGCGUGUGUGAAGAAGGCCUUUUGGUUGUAAAGCACUUUAAGCGAGGAGGAGGAGCUCUUGGUUAAUACCCAAGAUGCUUGGACGUUACUCGCAGAAUAAGCACCGGCUAACUCUGUGCCAGCAGCCGCGGUAAUACAGAGGGUGCAAGCGUUAAUCGGAUUUACUGGGCGUAAAGCGCGCGUAGGUGGCCAAUUAAGUCAAAUGCGAAAUCCCCGAGCUUAACUUGGGAAUUGCAUUCGAUACUGGUUGGCUAGAGCAUGGGAGAGGAUGGUAGAAUUCCAGGUGUAGCGGUGAAAUGCGUAGAGAUCUGGAGGAAUACCGAUGGCGAAAGCAGCCAUCUGGCCUAAUACUGACACUGAGGUGCGAAAGCAUGGGGAGCAAACAGGAUUAGAUACCCUGUAGUCCAUGCCGUAAACGAUGUCUACUAGCCGUUGGGGCCUUUGAGGCUUUAGUGCGCAGCUAACGCGAUAAGUAGACCGCCUGGGGAGUACGGUCGCAGACUAAACUCAAAGGAAUUGACGG